GGCAGACGGGUGAGUAACACGUGGGAACCUUCCCAACAGUACGGAAUAGCCCAGGGAAACUUGGAGUAAUACCGUAUAUUCCCGUGAGGGGAAAGAUUUAUCGCUGUUGGAUGGGCCCACGUCGGAUUAGCUAGUUGGUGAGGUAACGGCUCACCAAGGCGACGAUCCGUAGCUGGUUUGAGAGAAUGACCAGCCACACUGGGACUGAGACACGGCCCAGACUCCUACGGGAGGCAGCAGUGGGGAAUCUUGGACAAUGGGCGCAAGCCUGAUCCAGCCAUGCCGCGUGAGUGACGAAGGCCUUAGGGUUGUAAAGCUCUUUUGCCGGGGACGAUAAUGACGGUACCCGGAGAAUAAGUCCCGGCUAACUUCGUGCCAGCAGCCGCGGUAAUACGAAGGGGACUAGCGUUGUUCGGAAUUACUGGGCGUAAAGCGCACGUAGGCGGAUUUGUCAGUCAGGGGUGAAAUCCCGGGGCUCAACCUCGGAACUGCCUUUGAUACAGCAAGUCUCGAGUCCGAUAGAGGUGGGUGGA
This 533-nucleotide ribosomal RNA is filed under the name uncultured Hyphomicrobium sp. Its description in RNAcentral is "bacterial SSU rRNA". It matches the Rfam family "Bacterial small subunit ribosomal RNA", at positions 97 to 665 of the family's 1533-position model. The record is from RNAcentral. Lineage: Bacteria; Pseudomonadati; Pseudomonadota; Alphaproteobacteria; Hyphomicrobiales; Hyphomicrobiaceae.